CAUCUCUAAAUAUAAUUUCAUUCUUCUUUUCUACCUCAACUUUCUGUUAUUAUUUAUUAUUGUUUGGAUUAAAUAUAAAGUAUUCUCAUUACUAUCAAUCAUUUCCUCAUAUAGACUUCAUGAAAAAUGUAGAUUUCACUGAUUUCUACUCUAUUUAAAUUUUUGCAAAAGAUCUAAUAAUCUGAGUUAUAAAACUCAGAAAGUGUUCUCACAGAAAAAAACUCUUUUCUUCUUUUAUUUUUAUUAUAAAGAAUAACAAUUCAAUAAAUCCCAGGGGAUGAAGACAUCUUUAAUUCCUCCAAAGGGUUGGA
Molecule: small RNA, 311 nt
Filed under: Histoplasma capsulatum
Lineage: Eukaryota; Fungi; Ascomycota; Eurotiomycetes; Onygenales; Ajellomycetaceae
Also listed under: 1 other name
Description: hypothetical RNA
Source: RNAcentral